GAUCCACGGGGGGCAGCAGUGGGGAAUAUUACACAAUGGGCGAAAGCCUGAUGCAGCAACGCCGCGUGAAGGAAGACGGAUUUCGGAUUGUAAACUUCUAUCAAUAGGGAAGAAAGAAAUGACGGUACCUAAAUAAGAAGCCCCGGCUAACUACGUGCCAGCAGCCGCGGUAAUACGUAGGGGGCAAGCGUUAUCCGGAAUUACUGGGUGUAAAGGGAGAGUAGGCGGCGAGGUAAGCGAUAUGUGAAAGUC
Molecule: ribosomal RNA, 252 nt
Filed under: uncultured bacterium
Lineage: Bacteria
Description: partial 16S ribosomal RNA
Rfam family: Bacterial small subunit ribosomal RNA
Source: RNAcentral